AGACACCAUCAACUGAGUCUGAGUGGAAGGCCAUUGCCAGAGACUUUGCAAACAAGUGGCAAUUUCCACACUGCCUG
Molecule: long non-coding RNA, 77 nt
Organism: Oreochromis aureus
Lineage: Eukaryota; Metazoa; Chordata; Actinopteri; Cichliformes; Cichlidae
Exons: 3
Source: RefSeq, a predicted model, not a curated record